UCCCCGCACAAAGGGGGUGGAGCCCGAU
This 28-nucleotide small RNA is filed under the name Bombyx mori (domestic silkworm). Its description in RNAcentral is "ovarian small RNA-27231". The record is from RNAcentral. Lineage: Eukaryota; Metazoa; Arthropoda; Insecta; Lepidoptera; Bombycidae.